ACCCUUCGAAUAAGGACCGGCUAAUUCCGUGCCAGCAGCCGCGGUAAUACGGAAGGUCCAGGCGUUAUCCGGAUUUAUUGGGUUUAAAGGGAGUGUAGGCGGUUUUUUAAGCGUGUUGUGAAAUGUAGAUGCUCAACAUCUGAAUUGCAGCGCGAACUGGAAGACUUGAGUGCACACAACGUAGGCGGAAUUCAUGGUGUAGCGGUGAAAUGCUUAGAUAUUAUGAAGAACUCCGAUUGCGAAGGCAGCUUACGGGAGUGUAACUGACGCUUAAGCUCGAAGGUGCGGGUAUCGAACAGGAUUAGAUACCCUGGUAGUCCGCACAGUAAACGAUGGAUGCCCGCUGUUAGCACCUGGUGUUAGCGGCUAAGCGAAAGCAUUAAGCAUCCCACCUGGGGAGUACGCCGGCAACGGUGAAACUCAAAGGAAUUGACGGGGGCCCGCACAAGCGGAGGAACAUGUGGUUUAAUUCGAUGAUACGCGAGGAACCUUACCCGGGCUUGAAUUGCCAGCGCACGAUACAGAGAUGUUGAGGUCCUUCGGGACGCUGGUGAAGGUGCUGCAUGGUUGUCGUCAGCUCGUGCCGUGAGGUGUCGGCUUAAGUGCCAUAACGAGCGCAACCCCUUUUCUUAGUUGCCAUCAGGUAAUGCUGGGCACUCUAGGGAUACUGCCACCGUAAGGUGUGAGGAAGGUGGGGAUGACGUCAAAUCAGCACGGCCCUUACGUCCGGGGCUACACACGUGUUACAAUGGCCGGUACAGAAUGUUGGUUGUGCGUAAGUACGAUCUAAUCUUUAAAGCCGGUCCCAGUUCGGACUGAGGUCUGCAACCCGACCUCACGAAGCUGGAUUCGCUAGUAAUCGCGCAUCAGCCAUGGCGCGGUGAAUACGUUCCCGGGCCUUGUACACACCGCCCGUCAAGCCAUGAAAGCCGGGGGUGCCUGAAGUUCGUAACCGCAAGGAGCGACCUAGGGCAAAACUGGUAAUUGGGGCUAAGUCGUAACAAGGUAGCCGUACCGGAAGGUGCGGCUG
This 1030-nucleotide ribosomal RNA is filed under the name Prevotella ihumii. RNAcentral describes it as "bacterial SSU rRNA". It matches the Rfam family "Bacterial small subunit ribosomal RNA", at positions 477 to 1520 of the family's 1533-position model. The record is from RNAcentral. Lineage: Bacteria; Pseudomonadati; Bacteroidota; Bacteroidia; Bacteroidales; Prevotellaceae.